Molecule: long non-coding RNA, 371 nt
Filed under: Chrysemys picta bellii (western painted turtle)
Lineage: Eukaryota; Metazoa; Chordata; Testudines; Emydidae
Description: lncRNA (ENSCPBG00000026681.1)
Source: RNAcentral
GAUGGAAACAGUAUGGCAUUUAAUCAAGCCUUUUCACAACAAAAUUACUGAUUUAUGGUUUCUUUACAGAAACAAUCUUCUACCUCACAGAACAGCAAUACCCAAGUCCACGGUCAGUCCACUUUCUCACCAGGCAGCCAAGAUGGAUCGGCUUCCUCCGGUGUCAGUACGGGUUGUGGAGAGGGUACUUCAUACGACAGCAAUCCCUGCCACCAGGUGAGUAACCUUUCUCCAUUGUUUUUAAGGUUUGCCUUAAACUGGUUCUUAGUAAUGGAAUGUGUUGUCAUAAAUCUAAUUUCUUGUUCUCAAACAGUGGAACAAUGCUGCAAACAAUUUCUCUGAAAAGUAUGUACAAACCUCAUUAGACUUCG